This is a non-coding RNA of Ictidomys tridecemlineatus (thirteen-lined ground squirrel), 2395 nucleotides long. NCBI's taxonomy places the organism in Eukaryota, Metazoa, Chordata, Mammalia, Rodentia, Sciuridae. The record is from RefSeq and is a predicted model, not a curated record.
UACACUUGCAGUGUUUUGAAUUCCUUCGUUAAAAAGGGAUUUCAUUUCAAGGUUAGAGCUAGCAUUGCUUCCCAUUACCAAAGCAAAGAUACAUCUUUCAUUCAUUCUUUCAUUUGGCAUUCUUUCUUCCAGGACUUUCUAGACAAAGGUUAAAGCUGAGUAACUUUUCACACAAUUUCUAUCACUUUCUGUGGUUGUCCUGCAGUUUGGAAAUCUUCCAGAGCAUUGUGGGAAGCACACACGAGGCAAACUCAUGUUCUCAUUCUAAUGGAGUCCCUGAAUCACACAGCACAGCAAAUGUAUUAAAAUGUACCCAUAUUCCAUGCCUGGGAGAGCCGAGCAGAGAGGAGAAAGGCAAAGACACCCCUGAAAGAGUACCCCUCCUCCUCCAGCUGGGACAGUCGCCUCCGGGCUACCACUGAUGCCGGGGCCAGGCCUGCACCCAGAGUUUCGGGGAGGAGUGUUGCUUCCUCUGGAAUUUCUUUGCUGGCUGCAUCUCCUCAUUGUCCCGUCAGCACUGACGACCCAAGCACGGCAGCUGCCCUUCCCUCUGUCCCUCAUUGUUCCACUGAAAUUGCUUUUGCCUCUUGCUGGCAAAAGGCCCAAUCACGGGGGCAGCUCGAUGGCUCUUUGGGUGAGUUCCUGAGGGUGUGUGGUUUCUCUCUCUGCGUAAGGAGAGGGACUGGAGAGCUCCAGCCCUGACAGCUGCUCGUUGGAGGGGUCUCAAGUUCUGGAUCCUCAGAACCGCUGGCAAAGUUAGAAGCACAAUGAUGCCUUUCCUCAUUCAGAUGGACGUCAUGGAUACCCACCUGGGAGAAGUUACAAAAUCGAAUAGUUAAGCAUUUCCUUUCACCGAAGGGCAACUCUGUGCCACUCGAAUAGUUGACUCUCCAUGAGUCAAGUCCUUUGUCUGGUCUGUAUGGCCUUGUAUGAUGAUAACCUUCCAUGUCAUAUCUGUUUUGGUGGGGGUGAUCAGAGGGGACAGAAAUGUGUGCGUUAAUGCUCUCCGGACAUCCUAGCUAUAUGAAGUCAUGAAUAAAUUUAAAAGCCAAAUUAUUGAUAUGAAAAGGAUCAUCCAUGUGAUUUUAGUUUUUGCUUUUACACUGUUUCAAAGUCAAGGUAAUCAGUAUGAAUAGGAAGAAAAUAUGUGUUGUUAAAUAUUACUUAGGUGUUUGACAUACUAUGAAGGAACAAUGACCUUCUUAUAUACCACUAUGUUCAUCUCUCUAUUAAGAUCACCAGUUUGGCUAAGUGGAAAUUAUGGGACAGUUGAGCAAAUACUUGUGAAUGUGUUAAAAAUUCGGAGUCAAUAAUCGCAUGACCCUGAGUAUGUGUCAGGAAAGUCUUCCUAGAGGAGGUAAAAUCUAGCGAUAGCUAAGAUGCAGUUAGGCAGUGUUGGGCAGGGCUGUUGGGUUGCCCAACUCUUAAGGGUCACCAGCUGUGGUUAUGUGGGCUCUGUAUCUUCUGCCCUCGGAGUCCAGAGUGGAGAGAAGUGAAGUUCUAGUGGUGAGGGACAGAUUUCUACUAAGAGGGAACUGCAUGUAUGACCAUUCUGAGACUGACCCUUGGGAAUCCUUCUCUCCCCUGUCUUGUCAUGUCCCUGCUUCCUUGUCCAGGCCUCAGGAAUUCAAUCUCUGUCAGUAUAGAUUUUCUCACUUUAAAAAAAUUUUUUUUAGAAUUUUAGGUAAAUGAAAUAAUACAAGAUUUGCCCUUUUUUUCCGGGGGGGGGGGACUGGCCUUUUCUUUGUUUGAGCACAUUUAUCAAUAGUUCAUUCAUUCAUUCAUUCUUCUUGCAUUGUAUUUAAGAAAUAUUUGCCAAGUUCAAGGUCCUUACGAUAUUCUCCUAUGUUUUCUUUAGGAGUUUUAUGUUUAGCUCUUAAAGUCAGAAAUAUUAUUGAUUUUAAGAUAGAUUUUUGUAUUUGAUGUGAGGUAAGGGUCAAGGGUGAUUAUUUAUUUACCUUUACAUGUGAUUAUCCAAUAGUUACAGCACGAUUUUCAGGCAAGAUUAUUCUUUCUCCAUUGAAUUUCCCUAGCACGCUUGUUGAAAAAUCAAGCAUGUACAUAAUGUAUGCAUGCUUACCUUGUUACUUGCUUAUGUCCUUUUAUACAGUCUCCUCCUACCUUCAUCCCUAAUUGAUAAUGUAUCAUAGUGUAGAAAAUAUUCUGCUAGAUACAGUGGAGUACAAAGUCUUGUCAUUGUUCUAAAAUUUAAAUGGGGUUACAUUGCACAUAUUACUCUGUAAUAUGUCUUUUUCCCUUUAAAUACAUGCCUUGUAAAACUUUUCAUUAAGCAAACAUGGAUAUACCUUAUUUUAAACUUUUUAAAAAAUAGAAUUAAUAACAAGGAUGGUGGAAUGUGAUGGACAUCAUUAUACAAAAUACAUGUAUGAAGACA